RNAcentral lists this ribosomal RNA (249 nucleotides) under uncultured bacterium. Its description in RNAcentral is "partial 16S ribosomal RNA". It matches the Rfam family "Bacterial small subunit ribosomal RNA", at positions 523 to 769 of the family's 1533-position model. The record is from RNAcentral.
AUACGAAGGGAGCUAGCGUUGUUCGGAAUUACUGGGCGUAAAGCGCAUGUAGGCGGACAUUUAAGUUCAGGGGUGAAAUCCCGGGGCUCAACCCUCGGAACUGCCUUUGAUACUGGGUGUCUAGAGUGUGGAAGAGGUAAGUGGAAUUCCGAGUGUAGAGGUGAAAUUCGUAGAUAUUCGGAGGAACACCAGUGGCGAAGGCGGCUUACUGGUCCAUUACUGACGCUGAGGUGCGAAAGCGUGGGGAGC